GCGUUUGAACACACAACUCUGGGGCAGUGUUUAAGUCUUUAGCCACGGUCUCAGGAAGUCAACACCAAAGACGCCAUAGACCUUCUCCUUGACGAUAACCAAAAAGCUGUCAGUGGUUUCAUACUUUCAGCCGUUGCAAAUGACACGGAACUCUUGAUUGAGGGUGGCCUAGUGGUUAGAGUGUAGGGGCCUAGUGGUUAGAGUGUAGGGGCGGUAGGAAGCCUAGUGGUUAGAGUGUAGGGGUGGUAGGAAGCCUAGUGGUUAGAGUGUAGGGGUGGUAGGAAGCCUAGUGGUUAGAGUGUAGGGGCGGUAGGUAGCCUAGUGGUUAGAGUGUAGGGGCGGUAGGUGGCCUAGUGGUUAGAGUGUAGGGGCGGUAGGUAGCCUAGUGGUUAGAGUGUAGGGGCGGUAGGUGGCCUAGUGGUUAGAGUGUAGGGGCGGUAGGUGGCCUAGUGGUUAGAGUGUAGGGGCGGUAGGUGGCCUAGUGGUUAGAGUGUAGGGGCGGUAGGUGGCCUAGUGGUUAGAGUGUAGGGGCGGUAGGUGGCCUAGUGGUUAGAGUGUAGGGGCGGUAGGUAGCCUAGUGGUUAGAGUGUAGGGGCGGCAGGUAGCCUAGUGGUUAGAGUGUAGGGGCGGUAGGUGGCCUAGUGGUUAGAGUGUAGGGGCGGUAGGUGGCCUAGUGGUUAGAGUGUAGGGGCGGUAGGUGGCCUAGUGGUUAGAGUGUAGGGGCGGUAGGUGGCCUAGUGGUUAGAGUGUAGGGGCGGUAGGUGGCCUAGUGGUUAGAGUGUAGGGGCGGUAGGUGGCCUAGUGGUUAGAGUGUAGGGGCGGUAGGUGGCCUAGUGGUUAGAGUGUAGGGGGGUAGGUGGCCUAGUGGUUAGAGUGUAGGGGCGGUAGGUGGCCUAGUGGUUAGAGUGUAGGGGCGGUAGGUGGCCUAGUGGUUAGAGUGUAGGGGCGGUAGGUGGCCUAGUGGUUAGAGUGUAGGGACGGCAGGGUAGCCUAGUGGUUAGAGUGUAGGGGCGGUAGGUAGCCUAGUGGUUAGAGUGUAGGGGCGGUAGGUAGCCUAGUGGUUAGAGUGUAGGGGCGGUAGGUGGCCUAGUGGUUAGAGUGUAGGGGCGGUAGGUAGCCUAGUGGUUAGAGUGUAGGGGGGCAGGUAGCCUAGUGGUUAGAGUGUAGGGGCGGUAGGUGGCCUAGUGGUUAGAGUGUAGGGGCGGUAGGUGGCCUAGUGGUUAGAGUGUAGGGGCGGUAGGUGGCCUAGUGGUUAGAGUGUAGGGGCGGUAGGUAGCCUAGUGGUUAGAGUGUAGGGGCGGUAGGUGGCCUAGUGGUUAGAGUGUAGGGGCGGUAGGUAGCCUAGUGGUUAGAGUGUAGGGGCGGUAGGUAGCCUAGUGGUUAGAGUGUAGGGGCGGUAGGUGGCCUAGUGGUUAGAGUGUAG
Long non-coding RNA from Oncorhynchus keta (chum salmon), 1423 nucleotides. RefSeq lists it as uncharacterized. The record is from RefSeq and is a predicted model, not a curated record. The transcript has 10 exons. NCBI's taxonomy places the organism in Eukaryota, Metazoa, Chordata, Actinopteri, Salmoniformes, Salmonidae.